RNAcentral lists this ribosomal RNA (406 nucleotides) under uncultured bacterium. Its description in RNAcentral is "partial 16S ribosomal RNA". It matches the Rfam family "Bacterial small subunit ribosomal RNA", at positions 30 to 526 of the family's 1533-position model. The record is from RNAcentral.
AUUGAACGCUGGCGGCAGGCCUAACACAUGCAAGUCGAACGAGUGGCGGACGGGUGAGUAAUGUCUGGGAAACUGCCCGAUGGAGGGGGAUAACUACUGGAAACGGUAGCUAAUACCGCAUACCAUCGGAUUUGCCCAGAUGGGAUGAGAUAGUUGGUGGGGUCACGGCUCACCUAGGCGACGAUCCCUAGCUGGUCUGAGAGGAUGACCAGCAACACUGGAACUGAGACACGGUCCAGACUACUACGGGAGGCAGCAGUGGGGAAUAUUGCACAAUGGGCGGAAGCCUAAUGCAGCCAUGCCGCGUGGAUGAAGAAGGCCUUCGGGUUGUAAAGUACUUUCAGCGGGGAGGCGUUACUCGCAGAAGAAGCACCGGCUAACUCCGUGCCAGCAGCCGCGGUAAUUC